Mauremys mutica (yellowpond turtle) is the source of this 552-nucleotide long non-coding RNA. RefSeq lists it as uncharacterized. The transcript has 3 exons. The record is from RefSeq and is a predicted model, not a curated record. Lineage: Eukaryota; Metazoa; Chordata; Testudines; Geoemydidae.
CUCUGAGAGAAGCCAUGUGAUGAUCUGGGUUUCCUGGUGCAGUCUGCAGAGAGUCAGCAUGGAGAUGUGAAGAUAAAAUCCAUUAAUGUGCGUGAGACACUACAGUGAAGAAUGCCACGCUCCAUCACUCCUGUUUACGGCUCAGGGGAACUGGCAGGGUGUGUGAAGCUGAUGGUUCGCAGACUCAGAUCCAGAUGGCAGCAGCUUCUCACCCACAUUCCCUUCCUGUUGGCUGGCUUGCUCUGCUGCAACCCCAACCGUUCAACCCCAGAGACUGGUUUACAUUUUGAAAGUGAUGAAUGUGGGGCCCGAUCCUGCAAACUCCCACAACAAGGCGUACGGCCAUUGAGAUGGCACCCAGGAGGGUUUGCUGGAUCAGGCCUGUUGUUUUUGAUCCUGCCAACUGCAGGUCUCUCCAUUUCCCUUGACUCUGCUGGAAGUGGAGGAUGCUCAGCGUCUCAUAGCACCAGAACUAGAGCCAGUAGAAAAAUGCGGGAAGCCGGGGGGAACAUGCUAUUGAGAUCUGGUUUGUUUGGGGUUUUUUAGAUUCUU